CCUACGGGCGGCUGCAGUGAGGAAUAUUGGUCAAUGGGCGGAAGCCUGAACCAGCCAAGUCGCGUGAGGGACUAAGGCCCUACGGGUCGUAAACCUCUUUUGCCGGGGAUCAGUGCCCAGCUCGCGAGCUGGGCGGGAGCGUACCCGGAGAAAAAGCAUCGGCUAACUCCGUGCGAGCAGCCGCGGUAAUACGGAGGAUGCGAGUGUUAUCCGGAUUUAUUGGGUUUAAGGGGUGCGUAGGCGGGCCUUCAGGCCGGCGGGAAAAUUGCGGGGCUCAACCCCGCCGAGCCGUCGGAACCGGGGGCCUUGAGUACCGGAGAAGUACGCGGAAUGCGUGGUGUAGCGGUGAAAUGCAUAGAUAUCACGCAGAACCCCGAUUGCGAAGGCAGCGUACCGGCCGGUCACUGACGCUGAGGCACGAAAGCGCGGGUAUCGAACAGGAUUAGAUACCCGAGUAGUC
RNAcentral lists this ribosomal RNA (460 nucleotides) under uncultured bacterium. RNAcentral describes it as "partial 16S ribosomal RNA". It matches the Rfam family "Bacterial small subunit ribosomal RNA", at positions 338 to 795 of the family's 1533-position model. The record is from RNAcentral.